GAAACCCCAGAAUUAGAGCCU
Molecule: non-coding RNA, 21 nt
Filed under: Rattus norvegicus (Norway rat)
Lineage: Eukaryota; Metazoa; Chordata; Mammalia; Rodentia; Muridae
Source: RNAcentral